GUCUACGGCCACACCACCCUGAACGCGCCCGAUCCCGUCCGAUCUCGGAAGCUAAGCAGGGUCGGGCCUGGUUAGUACUUGGAUGGGAGACCGCCUGGGAAUACUGGGUGCCGUAGGCU
This 119-nucleotide ribosomal RNA is filed under the name Microcebus murinus (gray mouse lemur). The record is from RNAcentral. Lineage: Eukaryota; Metazoa; Chordata; Mammalia; Primates; Cheirogaleidae.